AGGGAUAUAGCUCAGUUGGUAGAGUGCUUGCCUUGCAUGCACAAGGCCCUGGGUUCAAUCCCCAGCACCACCA
Non-coding RNA from Ictidomys tridecemlineatus (thirteen-lined ground squirrel), 73 nucleotides. Lineage: Eukaryota; Metazoa; Chordata; Mammalia; Rodentia; Sciuridae. The record is from Rfam.